GCGAGUGAGAUCAUACCUGUGUUAAUGCACCGGAUCCCAUCAAAACUACGUAGUUAAGCACGCUUGGGCUAGAGUAGUACUAGGAUGGAUGAUCUCCCGGGAAGUCCUAGUGUUGCUUGCA
Picea glauca (white spruce) is the source of this 121-nucleotide non-coding RNA. The record is from Rfam. NCBI's taxonomy places the organism in Eukaryota, Viridiplantae, Streptophyta, Pinopsida, Pinales, Pinaceae.